GAUGAACGCUGGCGGCGUGCUUAACACAUGCAAGUCGAACGAAGCACUUUAUUUGAUUUCCUCGGAAUGAAAAUUUUGUGACUGAGUGGCGGACGGGUGAGUAACGCGUGGGUAACCUGCCUCAUACAGGGGGAUAACAGUUGGAAACGACUGCUAAUACCGCAUAAGCGCACAGUACCGCAUGGUACGGUGUAGAAAAACUCCGGUGGUAUGAGAUGGACCCGCGUCUGAUUAGCUAGUUGGUGAGGUAACGGCCCACCAAGGCGACGAUCAGUAGCCGACCUGAGAGGGUGACCGGCCACAUUGGGACUGAGACACGGCCCAAACUCCUACGGGAGGCAGCAGUGGGGAAUAUUGCACAAUGGGCGAAAGCCUGAUGCAGCGACGCCGCGUGAACGAAGAAGUAUUUCGGUAUGUAAAGUUCUAUCAGCAGGGAAGAUAAUGACGGUACCUGACUAAGAAGCACCGGCUAAAUACGUG
RNAcentral lists this ribosomal RNA (480 nucleotides) under uncultured bacterium. RNAcentral describes it as "bacterial SSU rRNA". It matches the Rfam family "Bacterial small subunit ribosomal RNA", at positions 28 to 507 of the family's 1533-position model. The record is from RNAcentral.